CAGUUUGCUAUCGAGAGGCUUAAUAAACAGGCUGUUAUUUUUAAGUGCAACCUCGCCUUUGGCAGUAACAAGUUCGCCAUUCAGUGGAAUAUCCAGAUGUAAGCGAGCAUUCACAUUACCAUCCAGCUGAAGUUGCUCAAGCGUUGCACCAAGUGAAUCUUUUAACGGCGAUUCGUCGAAAUACGGCCCAACGGCUUUACCAGGACCACUGAUAUCCGCAUCAAUUAAUAACUUCUCUUUCGAAUAAUCAGGGAUGACCGCUGUCAGAUUACUGGCCUGAACACCGCCCAGAUUCACUUUGUCACUGCGCAUCCAUAAGCCGUCAUUGAUAAAAUCCAGCUCAAUAUCAAGAUUUGUUAGCGCAGGCCAGUCGGGUUGAAAGGCAAAUUUGGCAUU
RNAcentral lists this non-coding RNA (396 nucleotides) under Escherichia fergusonii. Lineage: Bacteria; Pseudomonadati; Pseudomonadota; Gammaproteobacteria; Enterobacterales; Enterobacteriaceae. The record is from RNAcentral.